AUUUCUGUCAUUUCACUAUUUGCAACAUCUCUUUUCUCCCUCGUAUCUUCUAUCUUCUUUCUUGUCAUAUGGAACGAAAUACUUAGAUUUGAUCUAAUGAUGUUUCUUCCUUCUCUCUUUACUUCUCUGUCUUCAGAUUUGGCUUCGAUGCCGUCUUUAGAUCUGGUUUCGCAUUUCUUCGUUUUCAUCUUUACUUCUCUGUCUUCAGAUUUGGCUUCGAUGCCGUCUUUAGAUCUGGUUUCGCAUUUCUUCGUUUCCGCCAGUUCCAUCGGCAUUGAAACCUGAUCUAGAUCCUUAGAUCUAUAGAUCUAGCCCUUCACAUAUCUAUAGAUCUACAUUUAUGGUGGUACUCUUCUUGCAUUUUUUUAGAACCAUUCACAGAUCUAUAGAUCUACCGAUCUGGAUUCGUGUCUUUUGCCCUUGCCACUCCAAACAAUCUCUUCUUUAGCUACUCCAAAUCUUUGAUUCCCUUUUCUACUUUAUUCUAUCUUCUCACUCUAUCGAAACAGGCCCUAAUUUGUUUGGAUGACGGACGAUUGUGCUUGGUGGGGGCGGAAGUUAUCAUUUGGAGAGUGGUAGGGUGUGAAGGACAAGUUCAGGAGCUUGGUAGGGGGAGGUUCGAAGGUUGGUCUUGUUACGAAUCAGCUGCAUCAAACGCUGUCUACCAAUUUUCUCUUGAUGAGGUGGACUAUUAGCAUACUCGGGCAUUGCAUGAGGUCCGUUAACAUGAAUAUAGUAAUUUGGACGAAUAUUCAUAUAUUCUUAAUUAUAGUUGUUUGUAUGAUGAAAAUAGAAAUAUAUGUUUGUUUCAUAUUUAUAGCUGUUUGGAGUAAUUUAUAGUUGAUUGGAUGAAUUUAUAGUUGGGUGACUGUUUUAUAAAUCUUGUUUAUGUUUGGAUGAAUAACAUUACUUUAUACUUGUUGCGAUGUUUGGGUGAUUGACAAUAAUAAUAUUUAAAAAAAAAAGUAAUAUAAAAAAUC
Molecule: long non-coding RNA, 980 nt
Organism: Benincasa hispida (wax gourd)
Lineage: Eukaryota; Viridiplantae; Streptophyta; Magnoliopsida; Cucurbitales; Cucurbitaceae
Source: RefSeq, a predicted model, not a curated record